GAGUUUGAUCAUGGCUCAGAUUGAACGCUGGCGGCAGGCUUAACACAUGCAAGUCGAACGAUGAUUACUAGCUUGCUAGUAUGAUUAGUGGCGAACGGGUGAGUAAUGCUUAGGAAUCUGCCUAUUAGUGGGGGACAACAUUCCGAAAGGAAUGCUAAUACCGCAUACGUCCUACGGGAGAAAGCAGGGGAUCGCAAGACCUUGCGCUAAUAGAUGAGCCUAAGUCGGAUUAGCUAGUUGGUGGGGUAAAGGCCUACCAAGGCGACGAUCUGUAGCUGGUCUGAGAGGAUGAUCAGCCACACUGGGACUGAGACACGGCCCAGACUCCUACGGGAGGCAGCAGUGGGGAAUAUUGGACAAUGGGCGAAAGCCUGAUCCAGCCAUGCCGCGUGUGUGAAGAAGGCCUUUUGGUUGUAAAGCACUUUAAGUGGGGAGGAAAAGCUAAUAAUUAAUACCUAUAGCCCUGA
Molecule: ribosomal RNA, 467 nt
Filed under: Moraxella sp. canine oral taxon 017
Lineage: Bacteria; Pseudomonadati; Pseudomonadota; Gammaproteobacteria; Moraxellales; Moraxellaceae
Description: bacterial SSU rRNA
Rfam family: Bacterial small subunit ribosomal RNA
Source: RNAcentral